Molecule: ribosomal RNA, 490 nt
Filed under: uncultured bacterium
Lineage: Bacteria
Description: partial 16S ribosomal RNA
Rfam family: Bacterial small subunit ribosomal RNA
Source: RNAcentral
AUUGAACGCUGGCGGCAGGCCUAACACAUGCAAGUCGAACGGUAACAGGAAGCAGCUUGCUGCUUCGCUGACGAGUGGCGGACGGGUGAGUAAUGUCUGGGAAACUGCCUGAUGGAGGGGGAUAACUACUGGAAACGGUAGCUAAUACCGCAUAACGUCGCAAGACCAAAGAGGGGGACCUUCGGGCCUCUUGCCAUCGGAUGUGCCCAGAUGGGAUUAGCUAGUAGGUGGGGUAACGGCUCACCUAGGCGACGAUCCCUAGCUGGUCUGAGAGGAUGACCAGCCACACUGGAACUGAGACACGGUCCAGACUCCUACGGGAGGCAGCAGUGGGGAAUAUUGCACAAUGGGCGCAAGCCUGAUGCAGCCAUGCCGCGUGUAAGAAGAAGGCCUUCGGGUUGUAAAGUACUUUCAGCGGGGAGGAAGGGAGUAAAGUUAAUACCUUUGCUCAUUGACGUUACCCGCAGAAGAAGCACCGGCUAACUCCGUG